This 578-nucleotide long non-coding RNA is filed under the name Brassica napus (rape). RNAcentral describes it as "long non-coding RNA (BNAP_LNC014970)". The record is from RNAcentral. Lineage: Eukaryota; Viridiplantae; Streptophyta; Magnoliopsida; Brassicales; Brassicaceae.
ACGACGGAUAAAUGUUAUGGUGAGCUUAGAGUCAAAGCUUGAAUAUAUAUUUUGAUUAACAUUAUGGUUUUGUUUCCAUAUCUUUUUUUUUGUAUUAAUGGCAGAAUAUAUGUUAUUUACUUCUUAGUGAAUGCAAGAGGAUUUUUUGCUAGAAGAAUAUUAUUAUGGGGCCAGUUAAACUUGGUGAAAUCGUUUUUGAUUUAGACGUGUAUAGCCAGAAGUCUAUCUAAUAAUUAACAGCUCGACAAAAACCAAUUCAUGCAUGCAUUUGUUUUAUUAUAAGGCAACUCGUAAAGGACGUAUUCCUUAUUGUUUGCAUGCAUUGCAAUUUGUUUACGUGUUCUUAGUGAAUAAUUAACAGGUACACAUAAUUAAUGGGCUGGGCUGCGAGAUUGUUCUUUUAAUUCGAAGCCCACUCGCUGUAACCAAACCAAAGCAAUUUUAAUUCGAACCUCAUUCUUUUAAUUCGAAGCCCACUCGUUGUAGCCAAUUUUGUAACCAAAGCAACUUUAAUUUGAAGCCCACUCGCUGUAGCCAAUUUUGUAAUCAAAACCAAGUCCAAAUCUUUUAUUGCAAUU